UACGAAGGGGGCUAGCGUUGCUCGGAAUCACUGGGCGUAAAGGGUGCGUAGGUGGGCAGGUAAGUCCGUGGUGAAAUCUCUGAGCUUAACUCAGAAACUGCCGUGGAUACUAUUUGUCUUGAAUGUUGUGGAGGUGAGCGGAAUAUGUCAUGUAGCGGUGAAAUGCUUAGAUAUGACAUAGAACACCAAUUGCGAAGGCAGCUCACUACACAAUUAUUGACGCUGAGGCACGAAAGCGUGGGGAUCAAACAGG
This 253-nucleotide ribosomal RNA is filed under the name uncultured bacterium. RNAcentral's name for it is "partial 16S ribosomal RNA". It matches the Rfam family "Bacterial small subunit ribosomal RNA", at positions 524 to 776 of the family's 1533-position model. The record is from RNAcentral.